RNAcentral lists this ribosomal RNA (253 nucleotides) under uncultured bacterium. Its description in RNAcentral is "partial 16S ribosomal RNA". It matches the Rfam family "Bacterial small subunit ribosomal RNA", at positions 524 to 776 of the family's 1533-position model. The record is from RNAcentral.
UACGGAGGAUCCAAGCGUUAUCCGGAUUUAUUGGGUUUAAAGGGUGCGUAGGUGGGCAGGUAAGUCAGUGGUGAAAUCUCUGGGCUUAACCCGGAAACUGCCGUUGAUACUAUCUGUCUUGAAUAUAGUGGAGGUGAGCGGAAUAUGUCAUGUAGCGGUGAAAUGCUUAGAUAUGACAUAGAACAUCGAUUGCGAAGGCAGCUCGCUACACUAUGAUUGACACUGAGGCACGAAAGCGUGGGGAUCAAACAGG